AUGCUGAGUCAAGGAAAGUUAAAACUAUGGAAGAACAUGAUGAUGGAGAGGAGAAUUGUAACAAAGGACCAAUGCAAGAAGGUUGAAGAAGACGUUGCUGCUGAGAUUAAGAAUUAUGCAGAAGACUCAAAAGAAUCUGAGUAUGUAGAUGAAUCUGAAGAAGAGAAUGAGAAGAGCAUUGAUGAGACACCAAUCAUUAGUCUAUACAAAGAGAUGACACUUUAG
This is a non-coding RNA of Vicia faba (fava bean), 225 nucleotides long. NCBI's taxonomy places the organism in Eukaryota, Viridiplantae, Streptophyta, Magnoliopsida, Fabales, Fabaceae. The record is from the annotation of a GenBank genome assembly.